AACACUUGUUUUAGAUUAUUAAGUACACCUGUUUGCUGCUAAAUGACCUCUGUGGAUUGGCCAACUGCACAAUAAAUAUCGGAUCAGCUUGACACCUAAUUAUACCUUCUGAGGAAACCGCUAUACGCUGACAGCGGAGAAACGCGUAAAGGCUACCCCUGUGAGGACCACAACACUGUUCCAGGCUCUGUCUCCACUGUUCCACUGCCAGUCUACAGCCGCGCUCAUUUCCACGUGUACCCUGAGAAACAUCUCAUCAGCUCGCUCCUAAUUGUGGAGUACGGAGCACGGGCUGACAGGGACGCUGUGAGCGGCGCUGCUGACAGCCGCUCUCCCUCUCUUCAUACGGCAUUUGGAUCCAGAGAGGUGUAUGCUCCUUCUCCCUCCGCUGCACCAGAUAUUGGGAAGUUUAUUGCUAUUGAACUCCAGCAGCGUGAAUUAAGGACGGCUGGUACGCAAACUACCUAACCAAGAGGUCUGCAAAUGAUCCCUAUCCUGGCUGGCAGUCAGGGGUCUAUGUAUGUAUAAAGGAAUUUGGAACAUAUGGAAGAAAGAACAGGAUAUUUUCAUUCUCUCUUACUAAUAUACCUCUGCAAGACUCUGCUUGCCUGCCUGCUGGGGCCAUCCCC
This is a long non-coding RNA of Pseudophryne corroboree (corroboree frog), 629 nucleotides long. RefSeq lists it as uncharacterized. NCBI's taxonomy places the organism in Eukaryota, Metazoa, Chordata, Amphibia, Anura, Myobatrachidae. The transcript has 3 exons. The record is from RefSeq and is a predicted model, not a curated record.